This is a non-coding RNA of Lepisosteus oculatus (spotted gar), 681 nucleotides long. The record is from RefSeq and is a predicted model, not a curated record. NCBI's taxonomy places the organism in Eukaryota, Metazoa, Chordata, Actinopteri, Semionotiformes, Lepisosteidae.
CCUGACUGCUCGAGUGCCUUCAUAGACCCGCUCUGUUGUUCACGACGUCCUCACAGGGCUUGCGUGUCCAUUUUUCUCUUCUGAUCAGGAUGGCCAGAGGCUGACGGUGAGAAGAGAGAGGAUGUCCAGAGGCUGACAGUGGGAAGACGGGUAUGGAUGGAUUGUGAUAGAGGAUGUCCAGAUGUUGAGAGAGGGAAGACAGGUGUGGAUGAGGAGUUUGGAUUGAGGUAGGAGACCCUCCUGUCCUCUCCUUGAUUUCUUUCCUUUGCUUGUCUCUGUGGAGUCUCUCUCUCUCUCAGUCCAGCUGCCUGUGGGCUGUGAAACUCCACAGUUUCACAGUGCUUACCUGGGCUUAGUUACCUGUAGGUUGCAGGUUUGAUUCCUGAGGGGGGACACAGCUCACUGUGCUCAGAUACUGUUCUGAUAUAAUGGUCCUCAUCGAGGCUGUACUGUAGGGAGUGUGGUGUUGACAGUGGUGUGCAGAAUUCUCACAAAUACUGUACCUGAACACUCACACUGACACACCUGUGUGCUGAGCUCUCACCUGGACUGUGCUUUAGUAUUUGAACAAGUGCUGAACUCUCAUCUCUUUUGAGCUUUUAUACUCAAACCUGUGUACUGAACUCACAUGUACUGCAGUGUAAUACUCAAACACAUCUGUGUACUGAACUCUCGACUGGA